RNAcentral lists this ribosomal RNA (468 nucleotides) under uncultured bacterium. RNAcentral's name for it is "partial 16S ribosomal RNA". It matches the Rfam family "Bacterial small subunit ribosomal RNA", at positions 28 to 507 of the family's 1533-position model. The record is from RNAcentral.
GACGAACGCUGGCGGCGUGCUUAACACAUGCAAGUCGAACGGAAAGGCCCUGCUUUUGUGGGGUGCUCGAGUGGCGAACGGGUGAGUAACACGUGAGAAACCUGCCCUUGACUUUGGGAUAACUUCAGGAAACUGGGGCUAAUACCGGAUAGGAGCUCCUGCUGCAUGGUGGGUGUUGGAAAGUUUCGGCGGUUGGGGAUGGACUCGCGGCUUAUCAGCUUGUUGGUGGGGUAGUGGCUUACCAAGGCUUUGACGGGUAGCCGGCCUGAGAGGGUGACCGGCCACAUUGGGACUGAGAUACGGCCCAGACUCCUACGGGAGGCAGCAGUGGGGAAUAUUGCACAAUGGGCGGAAGCCUGAUGCAGCAACGCCGCGUGCGGGAUGACGGCCUUCGGGUUGUAAACCGCUUUCGCCUGUGACGAAGCGUGAGUGACGGUAAUGGGUAAAGAAGCACCGGCUAACUACGUG